UAAACUCAAGUUACACUCUUACGAAAUAAAUAAUAACAACGCAGAAUUAGGUAAAGAGAAGAAUCGCGAAAGUCGUUCAGAACCUUGCAAGUAAAAUGGAUGCCGCUGAGGGCUUGGAACAGCUUUUCGCAGCGCAUUCGGCCGUGCCUGCGUUAGCCGUGUUGCAGCUACUACGGAAGGACUUGAGCCAGCAGCAAGCUCAAAUUCUGUUUAAGAACCACCAGCAUUGUCUUCAGAUGGGAACAUGUAGUUUUGGAUGGCGCGGGCGAGCAGCGUACGCAUUGCGCACAGGUACCGAGGUGCAGCGUCUCAGGAUGGAUUUCAGCCAACAAAGCCUCAAGAGCUGCUGCACAACCACCGGUGUGUCUUCAGUUGGGCACGUGUAGUCGAGCAUCGUAUGCAUUGCACACAGAAACCAAGGUGCAGCGUCUCUGUAACAUCGCCAGCAUAUCCGGUACGCGGUGGCAGGCUUGCCGAGCACGAAAUGAAGGGGGGUCGCAUCUCACCAUUCAACUAAGCAUGCAUGUGCUCGGUUGAAUGCUCGGUAGCAUGCGAGUUUACCUAUCAGGAUGUUUGUUUGCAUAUAUCCCUCCAAGUGAGAGGGCUAGGACCUAUGCUGAUGUUCGUUACAAGAAGUGAACUGAGGACUGAUGCUACACGUCAUGUAUACGCGUUGCUUAGCUUGCAACGAGACGCGCCCACGAUGAAAGCUUCAGCUACACUCACAAUACAUUAUACUGCUACACUAUUCUCUCCAGUCCUACCACAUUAUAUUUCACCGACGUACUUCCGCACCUUCCACAUCACCAUACGUGCUUUGGAAACGCGGGCAGCUGCUUCACAAGGGCCCCCAUCUUUUUGGAAGGUUUAUAAUUCUAAUAUAAUAUUGUGAAAUUGCAGUGCAUUCGGGCCUGUCGGCGGGCCGUAUUCUUGCAAUUCUAUGACGCGGCCUUUGGGCCAUAGGGCCGGUCAUCCGUGAACAGCACGUUUGGCAAACGAAGCAAGCCAGGAGCGUUCGGCGGGUUACACAAUACUCAUAUGUAGUUACCGCAAAUUAUAAUUCUCUGCAGAAAACAAUUGUUUCGGAAAUUAUGUCGGUGCGUUGCUGCAUGGACAGGGGCGACUGAUCAUCCGCCAUUCCUAAAUCGCGCCUAUCGAGUCAAGGAAUGCGAGCGGAAACGUGCUGGGCAAUAGUACUAUUGUGCUCGAGGGCUAACGUAACUUCAAAGUGAGCAAUUCAGUGUACGGGCCGAAACCUUACUGCCAAUGCCGAAAUAGUUUCCGUUUUUUGGACCCUUCUGCGAAACCUGCCGGAACCUGCCGGAACCUGCCGAAACCCUGAAAAUGCUGUAUUUUAUGACGUCCAUGGUAUGCAAACGUUGUUCGUGGGCCCUAUGUGCCUUUGCGCCUC
This 1411-nucleotide long non-coding RNA is filed under the name Volvox carteri. RNAcentral describes it as "long non-coding RNA (VCAR_LNC002269)". Lineage: Eukaryota; Viridiplantae; Chlorophyta; Chlorophyceae; Chlamydomonadales; Volvocaceae. The record is from RNAcentral.